Molecule: unclassified non-coding RNA, 361 nt
Filed under: Hevea brasiliensis (rubber tree)
Lineage: Eukaryota; Viridiplantae; Streptophyta; Magnoliopsida; Malpighiales; Euphorbiaceae
Source: RNAcentral
UGAAUUUGUAUCUCAAGCAUGGGACUUCUUCUCGGAUGCAAAUGUUGAGGUUAACACUUAUGUCAUGGAAGCCAACGUUAAUGGUGUUAUCACAGACUUCCCUCUAACAGCAAGUAGAUACAAAAGUGAGAGAGUUCUAUGUGGCUUCUUUCUAUUUAUUUGACAUAAAAAUAUAUUUAGGAUAUGUUUCACAUGCCAUAAUUAGAAAGAGGUUCUAUUUAUUUAAUCCGUUGCAUUCUUUAUCCCAUUGCAUUUUGUUAGUCUGCCAAAAGGGUGAAUUCUUCAUCAACUUAUGGGUUUCUGGACAUAUUUUAAAACUAUUUUACCAUAUUCCUUGAGGUUGCAUUUGGCUUCAUGGAUU